Molecule: long non-coding RNA, 1957 nt
Organism: Bolinopsis microptera
Lineage: Eukaryota; Metazoa; Ctenophora; Tentaculata; Lobata; Bolinopsidae
Exons: 4
Source: RefSeq, a predicted model, not a curated record
GGGUUAGCACAUGAACAAGUGAUAGAUGUGUUCCAUUAUGUCAAUCAGUUCCAGAAUACGACUCUGAAUUCCACAAUGAGAAGACACAAAGGCAAGAUUUUAAGAGGCAACCAGAACACAGCUAGAAAUGAAUCAACCAACUUCAGUUCCCUAGCUCAGUCUGAACAGCUCUGGGGAGACGAUCUAGCUUGGGAACAAGAACAUCGUAAAAAACUUGAAUUUUUAAAUGCUAUGGUAGUACAUAACCAUUCUGGAGAUCUGGGACAACAAAAUCCUCAACAGCAAGUUCAUUCAAUUAGAACGGUAAAUGAACCUAACCAUUUUGGAGUUCUGGGACAACAAAAUCCUCAACAUCAAGUUCAUUCAAUUAGCACGGUAAAUGAACCUAACCAUUUUCGAGUUCUGAGACAACAAAAUCCUCAACAGCAAGUUCAUUCAAUUAACACGGUAAAUGAACCUAACCAUUCUGGAGUUCUGGGACAACAAAAUCCUCAACAGCAAGUUCAUUCAAUUAGCACGGUAAAUGAACCUAACCAUUCUGGAGUUCUGGGACAACAAAAUCCUCAACAGCAAUUUCAUUUAAAUAACAUGGUAAAUGAAUCUACACAUUUUAGAUUUCUGGGACAACAAAAUCCUCAACAGCAAAAAAAGGGUGACCUGCAAAGUCCUUUGCAUCUUCCUUGUGCAUCUUCCUUCAUCUUCCCUGAUUCACAAUUAAUGGGCACCAGACAGAAGGAUAUUCAAGUCAAUCCAGAAGCUUCCUCCUCUCAGUCAACUGCAACUGUUGUUUUGCAGAAAGAGCUAAGGUUAAACAAAUUACUGGACCAAUGAACUUUGGAAUAGAACUGCUUUACUCAAAGACGCACAACAACAUAGAACUACAUACCCAAGAGGGAGCAGUGGUGCAGGCAAACUCAGCAAUAAUGGCUUUGAACAGCCCUGUAAUUCAUCGCAUGACUACAACCCUGGAACUUACGAUUAUUGAUAUGGAGGAGUUCAGUGAGCAAUCUGUGCAGUGUUUCGUGGAAGCUGCUUACACAGGCAGUUUACCAUCAAUCACUAAAGGCAUUUUUAGAGAUCUCAACAAAAUUGUUCAUGCCUUUAAAGUGGAUUGGUUGCAAAGUAGCUGCUUUGCAAUUUUUCGCGAUUUCAGUUUUACUGAUACUAAGCCAGGCAAUCAGCUAUCAUAUACAGAUCUCUGCUUUUUAUUUGAUGAGGCUGCUUUCGUUCUCUCUAAGCUAAAGCAAGAGAACUUUAUGGAUGAAGCUCUCAAUAAAAUUAAGGGUACUGGAACCAAACAGGAAUUUGUAACACGAUAUUUGAUCGAUAAUGAUUUAGAAAAAGUACCCUGUCAUCAACUUGACAUGGUUAUUAAACUUGUUGGAGACGAUGUAGAGCUAAUAGUUCAGCAUGUAAGAGAAAAGCUCCUGGUUCGAUUAGGUCUGGAAGGAGCAGUGAUUUCACCAAACUUUAAAUAUCUACUGCAGAACUGUGACCUCUCACAUUGUUCGAAGAGAAAUCCUCAGUUGAUCGAGCAGCUUUUUGACAUACUCCAGGAGGUUGCUACGAAUGAGGAUCUUAAAUGGGUUCUACGGCUACACAGAAAAUUAGCCAGCUUAUAAAUAAUUUACCGAUUAAUUAAGAAAAAAUAUUUGUCGACGAUAAAUUUGAGGUGACUGUCUUUAUUUUUGUAAUAUUAUAAAUACAAUUUAUGGUAUCUUAGCUGCGAUUAUAAAUUUUUAUUUGCUGUUAAAUACUUCUAUUAUAUCUUUUAUUUUAUCUUUUAUCUUUUAUCUUUUAUUUUAUCUUUUAUCAAUUUUAAUUCAUUAAAUCACAACAAACGGUCAAUUCGCAGAUAGUUUUAUCUUCAGAUGUGUUUUUAAUCAGAUUCUGUAUGUUACUAUUAUGAAGAUCUUUGAUAGUUUGAUAUCAUAUUAUUAAUGAUACUAUUCUCCAG